This is a regulatory RNA element of Leifsonia sp. Root227, 58 nucleotides long. It matches the Rfam family "msiK RNA". The record is from Rfam. NCBI's taxonomy places the organism in Bacteria, Bacillati, Actinomycetota, Actinomycetes, Micrococcales, Microbacteriaceae.
CCACCUACCCAUUCACAACGGAUCGUCCGGCACGUACCUGCCGGUGAAGGAGUAAGAA